Musa acuminata subsp. malaccensis (wild Malaysian banana) is the source of this 162-nucleotide non-coding RNA. The record is from Rfam. NCBI's taxonomy places the organism in Eukaryota, Viridiplantae, Streptophyta, Magnoliopsida, Zingiberales, Musaceae.
AUACUUACCUGGACGGGGUCGAUGGGCGAACAAGUAGGCCCAUGGCCUGGGUCUGUAACCUCCAUUGCACUUUGGAGGGGUGCUGGCCCACCAUCUCCCCAAGUGGGAGAGUGGACGUCAUAAUUUGUGGUAGAUGGGGGUACGCGUCCGCGCGGCCCCUGC